RNAcentral lists this non-coding RNA (49 nucleotides) under Schistosoma mansoni. The record is from RNAcentral. Lineage: Eukaryota; Metazoa; Platyhelminthes; Trematoda; Strigeidida; Schistosomatidae.
AUCCAGCUGACGACGUCCCGAAUAGGACGAAACGCGCGUCGAACUGGAU